Molecule: small RNA, 76 nt
Filed under: Cricetulus griseus (Chinese hamster)
Lineage: Eukaryota; Metazoa; Chordata; Mammalia; Rodentia; Cricetidae
Source: RNAcentral
CUCCCAUCUAAGUACUAAGCAGGCCUGAUCAUGCUUAGCUUCCAAGAUCAGAUGAAAUCGGGCAUGUUCAGGGUGG